UUAAGCCAUGCAAGUCGAGCGGGGAAAUGUAGCUUGCUACAUUACCUAGCGGCGGACGGGUGAGUAAUGCUUAGGAAUCUGCCUAUUAGUGGGGGACAACAUCUCGAAAGGGAUGCUAAUACCGCAUACGUCCUACGGGAGAAAGCAGGGGACCUUCGGGCCUUGCGCUAAUAGAUGAGCCUAAGUCGGAUUAGCUAGUUGGUGGGGUAAAGGCCUACCAAGGCGACGAUCUGUAGCGGGUCUGAGAGGAUGAUCCGCCACACUGGGACUGAGACACGGCCCAGACUCCUACGGGAGGCAGCAGUGGGGAAUAUUGGACAAUGGGGGGAACCCUGAUCCAGCCAUGCCGCGUGUGUGAAGAAGGCCUUUUGGUUGUAAAGCACUUUAAGCGAGGAGGAGGCUACCGAGAUUAAUACUCUUGGAUAGUGGACGUUACUCGCAGAAUAAGCACCGGCUAACUCUGUGCCAGCAGCCGCGGUAAUACAGAGGGUGCAAGCGUUAAUCGGAUUUACUGGGCGUAAAGCGCGCGUAGGUGGCCAAUUAAGUCAAAUGUGAAAUCCCCGAGCUUAACUUGGGAAUUGCAUUCGAUACUGGUUGGCUAGAGUAUGGGAGAGGAUGGUAGAAUUCCAGGUGUAGCGGUGAAAUGCGUAGAGAUCUGGAGGAAUACCGAUGGCGAAGGCAGCCAUCUGGCCUAAUACUG
This 700-nucleotide ribosomal RNA is filed under the name uncultured archaeon. RNAcentral's name for it is "bacterial SSU rRNA". It matches the Rfam family "Bacterial small subunit ribosomal RNA", at positions 48 to 742 of the family's 1533-position model. The record is from RNAcentral.